Molecule: unclassified non-coding RNA, 217 nt
Filed under: Hevea brasiliensis (rubber tree)
Lineage: Eukaryota; Viridiplantae; Streptophyta; Magnoliopsida; Malpighiales; Euphorbiaceae
Source: RNAcentral
ACUAGAGUCAUCUCCAGGGUUAUUCAAUAUCUCAUACUCUAGGUCUCGAAUUUGACUCUCAGUUGAAGUCAAAUGGAAGAACACUACUUGAGAACAUUACAAGCACAAGUGUAUUUGUUUUGUAUUGGAAAACUCAUGUCUCCUUCAACUAAAUACCAUAUCUGGUAAUAUUUAAACCUAAGAUGAAAUUCCUAUCAUCAAAAUGUGUUAAAAGAAG